GGGCAGCCGUCAAGCAGCGGCAGCGGCAUUUUCCUCUCCAGUCGGUUUUCUGUUAGUUGACUGGUAGAGGUGAGCAGCAACCAGCCUUCCUCUCCCCAGCCACUGCGGACAGCGGUCGCAGCUCCCUGUCCAGGAGAGGCGAACCACAACAAACCGACGCGUGCUGGAGGAGGUUCUCCUCUUCCACCUUUCUCCUCCUCUUUCUCCUCUGUCCCUCCUCCUAUCUUCCUGCUGCACAUUCGUCCCGCGAUUCCUCCAGCCCUGGACGUUCCAGACUCAAGAUAAUGAAAUCAAGAAGCUUUGGAUCGUUCUUCUUGCUGCUUGAGAUUUAUUUGUCAACUACCCUGGGAUGGAUGCGUUCAGAGACAAGCAGGAGUGUUCCCUCAGAUGUGGGAGGGCUGAAAAAGAAGGAAUUUAGAAACCUUGAAGUCACAAGAAGAAAAGAUUUUGGUCAAAUUACAGGUAUUGACUUGCUUCUGAGACAUGGAUCAGCCCAUCUGAAGCUUUGGUAGCAGGCAGCUCGGCCACCCCCAUUCCUCCCUGGACUGAGCAUCUGGGAUCAUCCUCAAAAAUUUGAGAGACACUGCUCCUGAUGUGGAUUGGACUGAUAUAGGGGAGUGGGAAAGUGGUUGAAUUAUUGCUAAAAUUUUAACUGUAUUACUGUGUUUAAGAUUUGUUAAAAGUAUUUAAAUAUUGCUGUAUGUUUGAGGGAUUUUUAGGAAACUUACUGUACUAGUCUAUUAUAUAUAGCAAUUUUGAUUCACUCUUUGGUUUUAUAUGUGCAAUGGUCAUUUGAUAAUUCCUUUUCUUGAGAAAAAAAGAUAGGAAGAAACUGGAAGAAAUUGGGGAAACUGAUGUAUUUUUCUUAGGCACUUCUGCCCCACCCCCUAUCUCAUUAAUUCUGAUUGAGUUGGAAAUUAUUUAAUUGGUCCUUUUCCUUUUUACUCCUUGCUUAAAAUUUCCUGGACUAUGAUUUGCUGGUUAUGUUUUAACUUUGAAAUCCCUUAUUCUGCUGGAAUUGCCCUGGCAGACUCAGUUUUGGGGAUUAUUUUUUUUUAGAAACAACCAGAAAUCAGACACCUGUCUGGGGACUGGCAAUCUCUCUGAUUUCUUUAUCCACUUCUGUUACCCUAGUUUCUUAAUUAGUAGUUCAGCAUUGUGAUAUCAGGCCUCUGAUAGUUAGGGGUUGCCUGCCUUGGUCUAACUGUGCAUAAUCUUUUCAGAAAUCUGUUUCCUAGUAGCAGCUCCUGUUCUGUCAGAGGGGACAGGUGGAGCUACUCCAAGCCCCACUUUUUCCCCUUUUGGAGUCCCUGACAGACUUGGGGUGCCCUCUUAGGAUGGGCAACAGGACUGUCUUGAGCACUGUUAUUCCCUAUAUAAGCAGAGGCUGAGUUAAAUGCACAAAUGACCACAGACCUAACUCACAGUGAACUGUCCAUCUCAAACUGGAUUCUCUGGCUGAGAUGCUCCCCAACUACAGAGAACCUGCUAUUUCUGCAACAGGGAGGCCUGUGUACUUCCUUAAAUAAGAAAUGCUGUUUUAUGCUAAUAACCCUGGAGUUAUCAAGGAGAGAUUUGUCCUUGCCAUUUGUCUUUGCAUUUUUCUCAUUUUAUUUUGGUUUAUUUGCUUUACAUAGGAUUGGUCAAAAUUAUGAUGCUAAGACCUUCUAGAGGAAGGUAAUUCAAUGAUUUGAAUAUUCAGAAGAGAGAAUGUGUGGAAUGUUAUGCCACAGUUCUCUUUUAAUUUUCUAAUUAUCCUGACCCAGUCCUGCCUCGGUUUCCCUAAGUAUUCUGCUUCAGUUUAUAAUUUUCUGUUCAGUCCUGUGAAACUACCCGUCUCUUAAUCAGAAUAUUUCAUAAGGAUAAAAGAUCUUAUGUUUUAGAAUAUCAGAAUGCCUUUCCCCAUCCCAAGCUAUUAGAAUAUCAGAUACUGUUAUCUCCUGGGUGCCUCCUCCCAUCUCUGAUGGCUCAUCCCACCCUGUCAGAGUCCCAUUCUUGCUCUCAGCACCCUGAUUCUGCCCCUGCCUCAGUCUACUCCUCUGAGUCUGAGCCGUGUGUGUGUGUGUAUGUAUGUAUAUAUGUCAUUGAGAACUCACAUUGUUUGUUGGAUUCUUGGAGACAAUAGUCUCAUUCAGCCCUGGGACCAAACCAUGGAUCCAUUUGGUCCCAGUAAAUCUCUCCUUUUCAAAUAAAAUAUUAAAUACUCUCUAA
Long non-coding RNA from Antechinus flavipes (yellow-footed antechinus), 2211 nucleotides. RefSeq lists it as uncharacterized. Lineage: Eukaryota; Metazoa; Chordata; Mammalia; Dasyuromorphia; Dasyuridae. The record is from RefSeq and is a predicted model, not a curated record. The transcript is spliced from 4 exons.